RNAcentral lists this long non-coding RNA (651 nucleotides) under Setaria italica (foxtail millet). RNAcentral's name for it is "long non-coding RNA (SITA_LNC003403)". Lineage: Eukaryota; Viridiplantae; Streptophyta; Magnoliopsida; Poales; Poaceae. The record is from RNAcentral.
GAGCCGGGCCAAUCACACCGACUAGUUUUGUGACUUUGCCGAUGGUCGCCGUAUGAAUCGAGGAUUGCGUUGGUGCACAUUUCCAGCAGGAUUCACCUCAAGUCUUUGCGCAUCUUCGUCCUGACUUCCUUGCCAUCAUUUGGAUGCCAUAGAAUUCUUCUAAGUCUUUCUUUUCCUUGGGAUCUAUAAAACACAUACAGUGGUACAUCUUGCAAACACGUUAGUCCCACUGACUACGUUGUCAUUGUCACACCCGAUUUUAAGGACAAAAUCGAGUGCAUUACAUACAUGUGCGCCAGGAUCAAGUUACACACAUGUACGACAAUAGUGAAUAGCAAAGACAGUGUUAAAUCGAAUAAAGAGAGUAUUAACCAUUAUUACAUGACCGAAUGUCUCACAUAAACCACAAAGUCUAAUUAUUACGCAGCGGAACUCCAAAGACGACGACGACUCCACAGGCAGCUGACUGAAGAAACGUACGCCUAGAACUCCUCGAAGUCGUGUAGAUACUCCUCUUCCCAAUUAACUUGGUCUGAACAGCGGUUUUGCAAGGGUGAGUACACUUAUGGUUGGUACUCAACAAGUCGUGGGGAAUAGUGUAGUGUAAGGCUAAUUCAAGGUAUGGCUAAGGCAUAAUUAGCAGUCGCUUUU